UCGACGUAAUCGCGAUCAGGCUGCUUCACGGCUUUCACUUCCUUCGGUGGCGAUGGCUUGGGCUUCACCUCUUUUCCAAAGCCUUCGACCGAAGUCCCGACCUCUUCGCCCGCUUCGGCCGGGAAAACGCUGUAAGAAAGAGCUCAAUUCUCUCCAGGAGACAUAAUCUUCGUCGUCUGGCUUCGCUGCUAGAGUCGCCACUCGAUUGAUCCUCCUGGAGCAAAUCCCCGCGAAGCUCCUCCGAGAUUUUAAUCCUGGUAGAUUUCUUUGGUGGAGCUGGUACGGGAUUGGAACUCCGGCAGCUUGCAUCUUGGUAGCUCUUCUCUCUUUUUGAUCUUCUUCUCUCGUUCUCUCUUCUCCCAAAGAUAUUUAGAUAUAUUCCCAGAUAUUCUAGUCUGACGUGGCAGGCUACUGGCUGUUUGCGUCACCAACGGCUGCGAUUAAACGCCAUGUUUGUACUAUAUUUUGAGGAGAUCUUAAGAAUAACAAUAUUAUUCAAUAAAAUAUAAAUUUGAACA
Long non-coding RNA from Selaginella moellendorffii, 518 nucleotides. RefSeq lists it as uncharacterized. The transcript is spliced from 2 exons. Lineage: Eukaryota; Viridiplantae; Streptophyta; Lycopodiopsida; Selaginellales; Selaginellaceae. The record is from RefSeq and is a predicted model, not a curated record.